RNAcentral lists this unclassified non-coding RNA (253 nucleotides) under uncultured Pseudobdellovibrionaceae bacterium. Its description in RNAcentral is "uncultured Bdellovibrionaceae bacterium contains 16S-23S intergenic spacer region". It matches the Rfam family "Bacterial small subunit ribosomal RNA", at positions 524 to 776 of the family's 1533-position model. The record is from RNAcentral. Lineage: Bacteria; Pseudomonadati; Bdellovibrionota; Bdellovibrionia; Bdellovibrionales; Pseudobdellovibrionaceae.
UACGAGGGGUCCUAGCGUUGUUCGGAAUCAUUGGGCGUAAAGCGGAUGUAGGUGGCUUAGCAAGUCAGAUGUGAAAACCCAGGGCUUAACCCUGGACGUGCAUUUGAUACUGCUGAGCUUGAAUACGAGAGAGGGUAGUAGAAUUCCUGGUGUAGUGGUGAAAUACGUAGAUAUCAGGAGGAAUACCGGUGGCGAAGGCGGCUACCUGGCUCGAUAUUGACACUCAGAUCCGAAAGCGUGGGGAGCAAACAGG